Molecule: long non-coding RNA, 977 nt
Filed under: Homo sapiens (human)
Lineage: Eukaryota; Metazoa; Chordata; Mammalia; Primates; Hominidae
Description: HSALNT0364867
Source: RNAcentral
UUUGUGUGACACUAGCAAGCCAGUUUUAUUACACAAUCAUCACACUUUCUGUUAGCGAGCCAUUUCCAAAGUGAAUCCAUGUUUUAAAAAAUGAUUCUCCAGUUUGAACAUAGGGAAUAUGAAACAAAGAGGGUGCUCAGUUCUUUCUGAGGAUGUUGAGCAUAAGUGGUGUGUGUGUGUGUGUGUGUGUGUGUGUGAAAAGGGGGUAUGUGUGGGAAUGUGGUCUGGUAUGUGCGUGUGGUGUCUGUAAGGUGUGUAGUGUGUGUAUGUGUGUGGUGUGUAGUGUGAGUAGCAUGUGGUGUGUGGGGGUGGUGUGUGGUGUGUGUGUGGUAUUUGUAUGGUGUGUGUGGUGUAUGUGUGGGGUGUGUGUGUGGUACCUCUAUCGUGUGUGUAUGGUAUGUACGUGUGUGUGGUAUGUACGUGUGUGUGGUGUGUGUGGUGUGAGUGGUGCAUGUGGUAUGUAUGUGUGUGUGGCAUGAGUGUGUGUGGUGUGUGUGGUAUGUAUGUGUGUGGUAUGUGUGUGUGUGUGGUGUAUAUGUGAUGUGCGUGUGGUAUGUAUGUGUGGCAUGAGUGCGUAUGGCAUGUGUGUAUGGUGUGUGUGGUAUGAGUGUGUGUGGUGUGUGGUGUGUGCUGUGUGUGUGAUGUGUUGUGGUGUGUGUGUGGUAUGUGUGUGUGGUGCAUGUGGUAUGUAUGUGUGUGGUGUAUGUGGUGUGUGUGGGGUAUGUAUGUGUGUGUGCUGUGAGCGUGUGUGUGGUGUGUGUGAUAUGUAUGUGAGUGUGGUGUGUGUGUGAUAUGUGGUGUGUGGUAUGUAUGUGUGUGUGGUGUGUGAGCGUAUGUGGUGUGUGUGGGGUGCGUGUGGUAUGUGUGUGUGUGUGGUGUGUGUGGUAUGUGUGGUGUGUGUGGUAUGUAUGUGUGGUGUAUGUGUGUGAGGUGUGUGGGGUGCAUGUGUGUGUGUGGUGUGUAUGUGGUGUGAGUGU